GACGUGCUAAUCUGCGAUAAGCGUCGGUAAGGUGAUAUGAACCGUUAUAACCGGCGAUUUCCGAAUGGGGAAACCCAGUGUGAUUCGUCACACUAUCAUUAACUGAAUCCAUAGGUUAAUGAGGCGAACCGGGGGAACUGAAACAUCUAAGUACCCCGAGGAAAAGAAAUCAACCGAGAUUCCCCCAGUAGCGGCGAGCGAACGGGGAGCAGCCCAGAGCCUGAAUCAGUGUGUGUGUUAGUGGAAGCGUCUGGAAAGGCGUGCGAUACAGGGUGACAGCCCCGUACACAAAAAUGCACAUACUGUGAGCUCGAUGAGUAGGGCGGGACACGUGGUAUCCUGUCUGAAUAUGGGGGGACCAUCCUCCAAGGCUAAAUACUCCUGACUGACCGAUAGUGAACCAGUACCGUGAGGGAAAGGCGAAAAGAACCCCGGCGAGGGGAGUGAAAAAGAACCUGAAACCGUGUACGUACAAGCAGUGGGAGCACGCUUAGGCGUGUGACUGCGUACCUUUUGUAUAAUGGGUCAGCGACUUAUAUUCUGUAGCAAGGUUAACCGAAUAGGGGAGCCGAAGGGAAACCGAGUCUUAACUGGGCGUUAAGUUGCAGGGUAUAGACCCGAAACCCGGUGAUCUAGCCAUGGGCAGGUUGAAGGUUGGGUAACACUAACUGGAGGACCGAACCGACUAAUGUUGAAAAAUUAGCGGAUGACUUGUGGCUGGGGGUGAAAGGCCAAUCAAACCGGGAGAUAGCUGGUUCUCCCCGAAAGCUAUUUAGGUAGCGCCUCGUGAAUUCAUCUCCGGGGGUAGAGCACUGUUUCGGCAAGGGGGUCAUCCCGACUUACCAACCCGAUGCAAACUGCGAAUACCGGAGAAUGUUAUCACGGGAGACACACGGCGGGUGCUAACGUCCGUCGUGAAGAGGGAAACAACCCAGACCGCCAGCUAAGGUCCCAAAGUCAUGGUUAAGUGGGAAACGAUGUGGGAAGGCCCAGACAGCCAGGAUGUUGGCUUAGAAGCAGCCAUCAUUUAAAGAAAGCGUAAUAGCUCACUGGUCGAGUCGGCCUGCGCGGAAGAUGUAACGGGGCUAAACCAUGCACCGAAGCUGCGGCAGCGACGCUUAUGCGUUGUUGGGUAGGGGAGCGUUCUGUAAGCCUGUGAAGGUGUGCUGUGAGGUAUGCUGGAGGUAUCAGAAGUGCGAAUGCUGACAUAAGUAACGAUAAAGCGGGUGAAAAGCCCGCUCGCCGGAAGACCAAGGGUUCCUGUCCAACGUUAAUCGGGGCAGGGUGAGUCGACCCCUAAGGCGAGGCCGAAAGGCGUAGUCGAUGGGAAACAGGUUAAUAUUCCUGUACUUGGUGUUACUGCGAAGGGGGGACGGAGAAGGCUAUGUUGGCCGGGCGACGGUUGUCCCGGUUUAAGCGUGUAGGCUGGUUUUCCAGGCAAAUCCGGAAAAUCAAGGCCGAGGCGUGAUGACGAGGCACUACGGUGCUGAAGCAACAAAUGCCCUGCUUCCAGGAAAAGCCUCUAAGCAUCAGGUAACAUCAAAUCGUACCCCAAACCGACACAGGUGGUCAGGUAGAGAAUACCAAGGCGCUUGAGAGAACUCGGGUGAAGGAACUAGGCAAAAUGGUGCCGUAACUUCGGGAGAAGGCACGCUGAUACGUAGGUGAAGCGACUUGCUCGUGGAGCUGAAAUCAGUCGAAGAUACCAGCUGGCUGCAACUGUUUAUUAAAAACACAGCACUGUGCAAACACGAAAGUGGACGUAUACGGUGUGACGCCUGCCCGGUGCCGGAAGGUUAAUUGAUGGGGUUAGCGCAAGCGAAGCUCUUGAUCGAAGCCCCGGUAAACGGCGGCCGUAACUAUAACGGUCCUAAGGUAGCGAAAUUCCUUGUCGGGUAAGUUCCGACCUGCACGAAUGGCGUAAUGAUGGCCAGGCUGUCUCCACCCGAGACUCAGUGAAAUUGAACUCGCUGUGAAGAUGCAGUGUACCCGCGGCAAGACGGAAAGACCCCGUGAACCUUUACUAUAGCUUGACACUGAACAUUGAGCCUUGAUGUGUAGGAUAGGUGGGAGGCUUUGAAGUGUGGACGCCAGUCUGCAUGGAGCCGACCUUGAAAUACCACCCUUUAAUGUUUGAUGUUCUAACGUGGACCCGUGAUCCGGGUUGCGGACAGUGUCUGGUGGGUAGUUUGACUGGGGCGGUCUCCUCCUAAAGAGUAACGGAGGAGCACGAAGGUUGGCUAAUCCUGGUCGGACAUCAGGAGGUUAGUGCAAUGGCAUAAGCCAGCUUGACUGCGAGCGUGACGGCGCGAGCAGGUGCGAAAGCAGGUCAUAGUGAUCCGGUGGUUCUGAAUGGAAGGGCCAUCGCUCAACGGAUAAAAGGUACUCCGGGGAUAACAGGCUGAUACCGCCCAAGAGUUCAUAUCGACGGCGGUGUUUGGCACCUCGAUGUCGGCUCAUCACAUCCUGGGGCUGAAGUAGGUCCCAAGGGUAUGGCUGUUCGCCAUUUAAAGUGGUACGCGAGCUGGGUUUAGAACGUCGUGAGACAGUUCGGUCCCUAUCUGCCG
This 2567-nucleotide ribosomal RNA is filed under the name Shigella flexneri. RNAcentral describes it as "partial 23S ribosomal RNA". It matches the Rfam family "Bacterial large subunit ribosomal RNA", at positions 55 to 2647 of the family's 2925-position model. The record is from RNAcentral. Lineage: Bacteria; Pseudomonadati; Pseudomonadota; Gammaproteobacteria; Enterobacterales; Enterobacteriaceae.